GGUUAACUUGUUGGCUUAAACAGCGGUUACAGAAAUCUCUAAGCCGUGGGUCGCAGGUUCGAAUCCUGCAGGAG
This 74-nucleotide transfer RNA is filed under the name Salmonella enterica subsp. salamae. Its description in RNAcentral is "tRNA-OTHER". The record is from RNAcentral. Lineage: Bacteria; Pseudomonadati; Pseudomonadota; Gammaproteobacteria; Enterobacterales; Enterobacteriaceae.